Molecule: ribosomal RNA, 430 nt
Filed under: Bacteroidota bacterium
Lineage: Bacteria; Pseudomonadati; Bacteroidota
Description: Bacteroidetes bacterium partial 16S ribosomal RNA
Rfam family: Bacterial small subunit ribosomal RNA
Source: RNAcentral
UAGGGAAUCUUCGGCAAUGGGGGGAACCCUGACCGAGCAACGCCGCGUGAGUGAAGAAGGUUUUCGGAUCGUAAAGCUCUGUUGUUAAGGAAGAACGAGUGUGAGAAUGGAAAGUUCAUGCUGUGACGGUACUUAACCAGAAAGGGACGGCUAACUACGUGCCAGCAGCCGCGGUAAUACGUAGGUCCCGAGCGUUGUCCGGAUUUAUUGGGCGUAAAGCGAGCGCAGGCGGUCAAUUAAGUCUGAUGUGAAAGCCCCCGGCUCAACCGGGGAGGGUCAGUGGAAACUGGUUGACUUGAGUGCAGAAGAGGAGAGUGGAAUUCCAUGUGUAGCGGUGAAAUGCGUAGAUAUAUGGAGGAACACCAGUGGCGAAGGCGACUCUCUGGUCUGUAACUGACGCUGAGGCUCGAAAGCGUGGGUAGCAAACAGG